RNAcentral lists this non-coding RNA (206 nucleotides) under Lacicoccus alkaliphilus. Its description in RNAcentral is "Salinicoccus alkaliphilus T-box sequence". It matches the Rfam family "T-box leader". From Rfam's summary of the family: Uncharged tRNA acts as the effector for transcription antitermination of genes in the T-box leader family. Lineage: Bacteria; Bacillati; Bacillota; Bacilli; Caryophanales; Salinicoccaceae. The record is from RNAcentral.
AAUAACGAGGCCGGAAGAGUAGUCCUGAGCGGGUUUACAGAGAAUGUGUGGCUGGUGGGAACACAUCGAAGUUCAGGGUGAAAGUAGACCGGAAUCAAUUUAAUCUGAAAAUUGCAGUAGGGUUGAACGUAAUUAUGCGUUAAAUAAUUUAAGUGCAGCAAGUGAUUGCUGAAUUUAGGUGGUACCGCGGAACUCCCGUCCUAUUU